ACUCCUACGGGAGGCAGCAGUGGGGAAUAUUGCACAAUGGGGAAAGCCCAUCGAUGCAGCCAUGCCGCGUGUGUGAAGAAGGCCAUUCGGGCUUGGUUAAAGACACUUUUCAGUAGGGAGGAAGGUAGUGUAGUUAACACCUGCACUAUUUGACGUUACCUACAGAAGAAGCACCGGCUAACUCCGUGCCAGCAGCCGCGGUAAUACGGAGGGUGCGAGCGUUAAUCGGAAUUACUGGGCGUAAAGCGCAUGCAGGCGGCCUGUUAAGUCAGAUGUGAAAGCCC
RNAcentral lists this ribosomal RNA (284 nucleotides) under uncultured bacterium. RNAcentral describes it as "partial 16S ribosomal RNA". It matches the Rfam family "Bacterial small subunit ribosomal RNA", at positions 335 to 603 of the family's 1533-position model. The record is from RNAcentral.